Molecule: ribosomal RNA, 396 nt
Filed under: uncultured bacterium
Lineage: Bacteria
Description: bacterial SSU rRNA
Rfam family: Bacterial small subunit ribosomal RNA
Source: RNAcentral
UAAUACGAAGGGGGCUAGCGUUGCUCGGAAUUACUGGGCGUAAAGGGCGCGUAGGCGGCGAUCUCAGUCAGGCGUGAAAGCCCCGGGCUCAACCUGGGAACUGCGCUUGAGACGGGAUUGCUUGAGGGCGAGAGAGGGUGGUGGAAUUCCCAGUGUAGAGGUGAAAUUCGUAGAUAUUGGGAAGAACACCGGUGGCGAAGGCGGCCACCUGGCUCGCACCUGACGCUGAGGCGCGAAAGCGUGGGGAGCAAACAGGAUUAGAUACCCUGGUAGUCCACGCUGUAAACGAUGUGCGCUGGAUGUUGGGUGACCUAGUCACUCAGUGUCGUAGCCAACGCGGUAAGCGCACCGCCUGGGGAGUACGGCCGCAAGGUUGAAACUUAAAUGAAUUGACGG